This 74-nucleotide transfer RNA is filed under the name Mesorhizobium sp. Its description in RNAcentral is "tRNA-Arg". It matches the Rfam family "tRNA". From Rfam's summary of the family: Transfer RNA (tRNA) molecules are approximately 80 nucleotides in length. Lineage: Bacteria; Pseudomonadati; Pseudomonadota; Alphaproteobacteria; Hyphomicrobiales; Phyllobacteriaceae. The record is from RNAcentral.
CCCGUAGCUCAGCUGGAUAGAGCGCUGCCCUCCGAAGGCAGAGGUCACAGGUUCGAAUCCUGUCGGGUGCGCCA